CAGCGACGUCCGCCCGUGCAAGCCCCUUCAAUCGUUGGCCCAAGGGCGACUUAGCCUUGGCCGUGUGCGGGUUUCCUGUGUUGCGUACCUACCGAACGGAAUUCGUGCGUCGUAUCGUUUGUCCUUCGCCUCGUGUUGUGCCCCUUGCGGGGCGCGGCGUCGGGUGAACCACGAAGCGAUACUCGCGUUUCUCGUCGGCCACGAAACGUGCCGUCGACGCGGCCCGUGAGUUAUUGCUUGGGCUCUCGGAUGCGGAACACUCGAACGGCAGGAGGUCGUCGACCUCCCUUUGCCCGAAUGAAGCGUUUAUUCGCUCGUUACCGAACGACUGCUGUCGUUGCCUCGGGGCGUCGUACCCUUCGGGUGCGGACGUGCCCGUGCUGCGCCGGCGUC
Molecule: unclassified non-coding RNA, 393 nt
Filed under: Arachnothryx leucophylla
Lineage: Eukaryota; Viridiplantae; Streptophyta; Magnoliopsida; Gentianales; Rubiaceae
Description: partial external transcribed spacer
Source: RNAcentral